RNAcentral lists this ribosomal RNA (467 nucleotides) under uncultured bacterium. RNAcentral describes it as "partial 16S ribosomal RNA". It matches the Rfam family "Bacterial small subunit ribosomal RNA", at positions 28 to 507 of the family's 1533-position model. The record is from RNAcentral.
GACGAACGCUGGCGGCGUGCUUAACACAUGCAAGUCGAACGGAAAGGCCCUGCUUUUGUGGGGUGCUCGAGUGGCGAACGGGUGAGUAACACGUGAGUAACCUGCCCUUGACUUUGGGAUAACUUCAGGAAACUGGGGCUAAUACCGGAUAGGAGCUCCUGCUGCAUGGUGGGGGUUGGAAAGUUUCGGCGGUUGGGGAUGGACUCGCGGCUUAUCAGCUUGUUGGUGGGGUAGUGGCUUACCAAGGCUUUGACGGGUAGCCGGCCUGAGAGGGUGACCGGCAAAAUUGGGACUGGGAUACGGCCCAGACUCCUACGGGAGGCAGCAGUGGGGAAUAUUGCACAAUGGGCGGAAGCCUGAUGCAGAAACGCCGCGUGCGGGAUGACGGCCUUCGGGUUGUAAACCGCUUUCGCCUGUGACGAAGCGUGAGUGACGGUAAUGGGUAAAGAAGCACCGGCUACUACGUG